GCUUCACUGAAAGACCGGGUGCCAUAGGCUGUAAGUCUAAGAUUAUGUUAAACAUUGACUUGUCAGUUAUUUGGUUUCCUCUCUCACCAUGACCUGUUCUAGAUUCAUCUACUUUUUUAUGUUUUUAAUCAGACUCAGCAGUAACACAUAUUAGUGAAGCAGUAAUAAUGGAAAAAUAGAGCAUCCUUUGCUCAACGUGUCCUAAAAAAGAUGUUGUCACUUGAGUCACCCAAAAAAGCCAGCCAUCUGUCCACAAGGCAAGAUACACAUUCAAGUAAAUGUGCAUUUCCUCCUCUGAAAGCCAUUGUGAAUCACUACAUUAUAAACAUAUUAUUAUGUGUUGUUCCCAGGCAAAAUUAUACCAAAAUUAAAACCACCAGCAUGUCUUAGACUUCACCCUACAAGAUACCAGGCUCUCUGUUCUUGCUGCAAAUAGUUAUCUAGACCUCAAUAAGGAAGACCAAAAUAUAUUUCUUCCUCAUGCCUCAGAGUUUUGCAUGGUAAUUGUAUUUAAUUCACAGUGUGCAUAUGCUCAAGUUUAAGUAGCAUGUUUUGGCUUUACAACAACCAGUGACCAGCAUAAGUCCUGUAAGUGCUUGCUUCCAGAUCCCAGCUUCAUCAAAUCCCCAGCUUCACCAAAUUCUUUUUGUUCUUUUUGCUGCAGCAAACAGCAAGCAGAAGAGCCUCUCUGCCAAAUGCAAGAAUGCUCAUAGGAACUCAGGCUCUCAUCAGUUCUCCACUGGGCACAAUCUCAAACUUGGCACCACGAGAAGAGGUCGAAACACAAAACCACAGAGGUGCUGUGAUUUUGAAACAAGGAACCACUCAGACAAAUAGGCCCAGCACAUGUCCAGCACAUAGCUGUGCUGGCCACUCAGAAAAGGGCCGAAGACCAUGCAGGUGUUCUGCCAUGGAGAAAAGUUAACAGGGACAAGUUACAUUCAGUUUACAAGAGUUGAUACCCCAUGUGGUUUAGGUGAGUGCCAGAUGUUACCGUUCAUCUCCAAACAUGAGAUCAGAAUAUAUCUGCCGGGUCUGAGAUAAUUUGGUAAAGUGACAAUAUGUGCAGUCAGAGGCUUAUUUGGCACAAAACAACACCCAUUGUCUAGAAAACAUUGGAAGGAUUGUAAUAGAAGAAACAUCCAGUCUUUUGCCUAUUUGCCUUUUUUUUCCUUUUAUUAAUCUAUAAAAGCAAAGCAGGUUUACUAUUUAACCUUUUAGAUAUUAGUAAAAAAUGAGACUUCACCAUUACCAAUUCAAUUUAACAUCUUCCUUUGCAUUGGUUAGUGUUUCUAAUGCUCCAUGCCUACAGCUGGGCUGUUCAAGCAAAUCUAGUUCACAAUGUGUAUCCACAUAACUUUUAACCAUAGGUUUUCACUUGUUAUAAAAUUUCAGAAAAUAUCAGUAAUAACCAGUAUCAAUUAAAACAUGCCUGAAAAACAGUGUAAAUACGAUCUGGAAAUUGAUUUAGGAAUUAUUAUGGAUCUGUACCAGUCUAGAUUUGAAACUCAGACCUUAUCAUCAGUGCAAUGGAAGGGAGUCAGAAUAAUCUUCUCUCUCUUCACAAAAUGUUUUUUUAUUCAGUUCAGUUUUUGGCAAUUAACAAAAUUUACUUUAAUUUGUCCUAAAUGUCUU
RNAcentral lists this long non-coding RNA (1635 nucleotides) under Numida meleagris (helmeted guineafowl). RNAcentral describes it as "lncRNA (ENSNMEG00000010215.1)". The record is from RNAcentral. Lineage: Eukaryota; Metazoa; Chordata; Aves; Galliformes; Numididae.